Molecule: ribosomal RNA, 505 nt
Filed under: uncultured bacterium
Lineage: Bacteria
Description: bacterial SSU rRNA
Rfam family: Bacterial small subunit ribosomal RNA
Source: RNAcentral
CGGCGCACAUAAGACAUGCAAGUCGAACGGAAGUCGUUACAAUAGAAGUGGAUUGAAGAUUAUCAGAUUGAAGCGGAAGCUGUAACAAUGGCUUUAGUGGCGGACUGGUGAGUAACACGUAAGUAACCUGGCUAUUAGAGGGGAAUAACAGUGAGAAAUCAUUGCUAAUACCGCAUAAGCUUGUAGGAUCGCAUGAUCCAGCAAGAAAAGGAGCAAUCCGCUAAUAGAUGGGCUUGCGGCUGAUUAGCUAGUUGGUUAGGUAACGGCUGACCAAGGCGACGAUCAGUAGCCGGGCUGAGAGGCUCAUCGGCCACAUUGGGACUGAGAUACGGCCCAGACUCCUACGGGAGGCAGCAGUCGGGAAUAUUGCGCAAUGGAGGAAACUUCUGACGCAGUGACGCCGCGUAUAGGAAGAAGGUUUUAGGAUUGUAAACUAUUUUAGACAGAGAAGAAAACAGACGGUACCUGUAGAAUAAGCUCCGGCUAACUACGUGCCAGCCGCUGC